GUGGGGAAUAUUGGACAAUGGGGGGAACCCUGAUCCAGCCAUGCCGCGUGUGUGAAGAAGGCCUUUUGGUUGUAAAGCACUUUAAGCGAGGAGGAGGCUACCGAGAUUAAUACUCUUGGAUAGUGGACGUUACUCGCAGAAUAAGCACCGGCUAACUCUGUGCCAGCAGCCGCGGUAAUACAGAGGGUGCAAGCGUUAAUCGGAUUUACUGGGCGUAAAGCGCGCGUAGGUGGCCAAUUAAGUCAAAUGUGAAAUCCCCGAGCUUAACGUGGGAAUUGCAUUCGAUACUGGUUGGCUAGAGUAUGGGAGAGGAUGGUAGAAUUCCAGGUGUAGCGGUGAAAUGCGUAGAGAUCUGGAGGAAUACCGAUGGCGAAGGCAGCCAUCUGGCCCAAUACUGACGCUGAGGCGCGAAAGCGUGGGGAGCAAACAGGAUUAGAAACCCCUGUAGUCC
Molecule: ribosomal RNA, 451 nt
Filed under: uncultured bacterium
Lineage: Bacteria
Description: partial 16S ribosomal RNA
Rfam family: Bacterial small subunit ribosomal RNA
Source: RNAcentral